Molecule: unclassified non-coding RNA, 262 nt
Filed under: uncultured fungus
Lineage: Eukaryota; Fungi
Description: partial contains 5.8S ribosomal RNA, internal transcribed spacer 2, and large subunit ribosomal RNA
Source: RNAcentral
AACGCACACUACGCCAGCCAGUACUCUGGCGGUGCAUGCCUGCCCGAGCGUCAGCGCCACCCGUAGAGCCCCGCUCGUGUUGGGGCGCCGCGGCCCCCCCGCGGGCCGCGGGCCCCGAAAGGCAGUGGCGGGGCGCGCCGCCGGCCGGAGAGCAGUAGCGACCGAGCCUCCUCCGGCGCCGGCGGCGGGCCCCCGGCCCCCCCGCGGAAACGCACGCGACCCCGAUGACCUCGGGUCAGGUAGGACUACCCGAUGAACUUAA